This 253-nucleotide ribosomal RNA is filed under the name uncultured bacterium. Its description in RNAcentral is "partial 16S ribosomal RNA". It matches the Rfam family "Bacterial small subunit ribosomal RNA", at positions 524 to 776 of the family's 1533-position model. The record is from RNAcentral.
UACGUAGGGACCGAGCGUUGUCCGGAAUCAUUGGGCGUAAAGAGCGUGUAGGCGGCCACUUAAGUCCUGCGUGAAAUCUUGCGGCUCAACCGCAAGCGGUCGUGGGAAACUGGGUGGCUAGAGUGCGGGAGAGGAGAGUGGAAUUCCUGGUGUAGCGGUGGAAUGCGCAGAUAUCAGGAAGAACACCCGUGGCGAAGGCGGCUCUCUGGUCCGAAACUGACGCUGAGGUGCGAAAGCGUGGGGAGCAAACAGG